CUGUUUCGGCUAGGGGGGCAUCCCGGCUUACCAACCCGAUGCAAACUGCGAAUACCGGAGAAUGUUAUCACGGGAGACACACGGCGGGUGCUAACGUCCGUCGUGAAGAGGGAAACAACCCAGACCGCCAGCUAAGGUCCCAAAGUCAUGGUUAAGUGGGAAACGAUGUGGGAAGGCCCAGACAGCCAGGAUGUUGGCUUAGAAGCAGCCAUCAUUUAAAGAAAGCGUAAUAGCUCACUGGUCGAGUCGGCCUGCGCGGAAGAUGUAACGGGGCUAAACCAUGCACCGAAGCUGCGGCAGCGAACGUAUCACCCAAGACAACUUUACGGAGUUGACGAUUGACGGAGCGAAGCGACGUCAAAGCGUUCAUUAAAGUCGAGUUGGCUUAGGGAUACGUUCGUUGGGUAGGGGAGCGUUCUGUAAGCCUGUGAAGGUGUGUCGUGAGGCAUGCUGGAGGUAUCAGAAGUGCGAAUGCUGACAUAAGUAACGAUAAAGCGGGUGAAAAGCCCGCUCGCCGGAAGACCAAGGGUUCCUGUCCAACGUUAAUCGGGGCAGGGUGAGUCGACCCCUAAGGCGAGGCCGAAAGGCGUAGUCGAUGGGAAACGGGUUAAUAUUCCCGUACUUGGUGUUACUGCGAAGGGGGGACGGAGAAGGCUAUGUUGGCCGGGCGACGGUUGUCCCGGUUUAAGCGUGUAGGUGUGUGUUCCAGGUAAAUCCGGUUCACUUUAACACUGAGGCGUGACGACGAGGCACUACGGUGCUGAAGCAACAAAUGCCCUGCUUCCAGGAAAAGCCUCUAAGCAUCAGGUAACACGAAAUCGUACCCCAAACCGACA
RNAcentral lists this ribosomal RNA (836 nucleotides) under Salmonella enterica subsp. enterica serovar Typhimurium. RNAcentral's name for it is "partial 23S ribosomal RNA". It matches the Rfam family "Bacterial large subunit ribosomal RNA", at positions 910 to 1659 of the family's 2925-position model. The record is from RNAcentral. Lineage: Bacteria; Pseudomonadati; Pseudomonadota; Gammaproteobacteria; Enterobacterales; Enterobacteriaceae.